This 543-nucleotide ribosomal RNA is filed under the name Escherichia coli. RNAcentral describes it as "bacterial SSU rRNA". It matches the Rfam family "Bacterial small subunit ribosomal RNA", at positions 87 to 626 of the family's 1533-position model. The record is from RNAcentral. Lineage: Bacteria; Pseudomonadati; Pseudomonadota; Gammaproteobacteria; Enterobacterales; Enterobacteriaceae.
GCUGACGAGUGGCGGACGGGUGAGUAAUGUCUGGGAAACUGCCUGAUGGAGGGGGAUAACUACUGGAAACGGUAGCUAAUACCGCAUAACGUCGCAAGACCAAAGAGGGGGACCUUCGGGCCUCUUGCCAUCGGAUGUGCCCAGAUGGGAUUAGCUAGUAGGUGGGGUAACGGCUCACCUAGGCGACGAUCCCUAGCUGGUCUGAGAGGAUGACCAGCCACACUGGAACUGAGACACGGUCCAGACUCCUACGGGAGGCAGCAGUGGGGAAUAUUGCACAAUGGGCGCAAGCCUGAUGCAGCCAUGCCGCGUGUAUGAAGAAGGCCUUCGGGUUGUAAAGUACUUUCAGCGGGGAGGAAGGGAGUAAAGUUAAUACCUUUGCUCAUUGACGUUACCCGCAGAAGAAGCACCGGCUAACUCCGUGCCAGCAGCCGCGGUAAUACGGAGGGUGCAAGCGUUAAUCGGAAUUACUGGGCGUAAAGCGCACGCAGGCGGUUUGUUAAGUCAGAUGUGAAAUCCCCGGGCUCAACCUGGGAACUGCAU